Molecule: ribosomal RNA, 253 nt
Filed under: uncultured bacterium
Lineage: Bacteria
Description: partial 16S ribosomal RNA
Rfam family: Bacterial small subunit ribosomal RNA
Source: RNAcentral
UACGUAGGGUGCAAGCGUUAAUCGGAAUUACUGGGCGUAAAGCGUGCGCAGGCGGUUGUGCAAGACAGAUGUGAAAUCCCCGGGCUCAACCUGGGAACUGCAUUUGUGACUGUAUAGCUAGAGUACGGCAGAGGGGGAUGGAAUUCCGCGUGUAGCAGUGAAAUGCGUAGAUAUGCGGAGGAACACCGAUGGCGAAGGCAAUCCCCUGGGCCUGUACUGACGCUCAUGCACGAAAGCGUGGGGAGCAAACAGG